AUUGAACGCUGGCGGCAUGCCUUACACAUGCAAGUCGAACGGCAGCACGGGUGCUUGCACCUGGUGGCGAGUGGCGAACGGGUGAGUAAUACAUCGGAACAUGUCCUGUAGUGGGGGAUAGCCCGGCGAAAGCCGGAUUAAUACCGCAUACGAUCUACGGAUGAAAGCGGGGGACCUUCGGGCCUCGCGCUAUAGGGUUGGCCGAUGGCUGAUUAGCUAGUUGGUGGGGUAAAGGCCUACCAAGGCGACGAUCAGUAGCUGGUCUGAGAGGACGACCAGCCACACUGGGACUGAGACACGGCCCAGACUCCUACGGGGGGCAGCAGUGGGGAAUUUUGGACAAAGGGCGAAAGCCUGAUCCAGCAAUGCCGCGUGUGUGAAGAAGGCCUUCGGGUUGUAAAGCACUUUUGUCCGGAAAGAAAUCCUUGGCCCUAAUACGGUCGGGGGAUGACGGUACCGGAAGAAUAAGCACCGGCUAACUACGUG
RNAcentral lists this ribosomal RNA (486 nucleotides) under uncultured bacterium. Its description in RNAcentral is "partial 16S ribosomal RNA". It matches the Rfam family "Bacterial small subunit ribosomal RNA", at positions 30 to 507 of the family's 1533-position model. The record is from RNAcentral.